Molecule: long non-coding RNA, 409 nt
Organism: Gossypium arboreum
Lineage: Eukaryota; Viridiplantae; Streptophyta; Magnoliopsida; Malvales; Malvaceae
Exons: 2
Source: RefSeq, a predicted model, not a curated record
AUUUAUUAAGUUAUUAUAUAUAUAUAUAUAUAUAUAUAUUCGUUUAAUGAGAAAAAGGAAGAAAAGAAUAGAAAUAGAAACAGAAAGCCAAACGAAACAGAGAGCAGGGGAAGGAAAGAAAGAAAAAGAGAAAAGAAAGAACAAAAGGGAAAAUUCAAGGUUUGAAGCUUUGAAGUUUAAUUGCUAAUGUUGUCUCGGGAAAUCUCGGCUAAGCAAGAAAAAAUGGCAAAGACAACGGGUGUUAGCUCGAGAAAAUACAGUUUGUAUUUCUAUAAUCCGAACUUAGUCAUUAUUUGUUAUAUUUAUAUACAUAUGGCAAUUGUUAGUAUUAGAAUUAUGAUGUUUUACAAUUGGAAUGGACUGAUUUUGGUAUGCGAUGAAUUUAUUGAACUUAUAUUGAUUGAAAUUA